This 933-nucleotide ribosomal RNA is filed under the name uncultured bacterium. RNAcentral's name for it is "bacterial SSU rRNA". It matches the Rfam family "Bacterial small subunit ribosomal RNA", at positions 92 to 1027 of the family's 1533-position model. The record is from RNAcentral.
CGACCGGCAGAAGGGUGCGUAACACGUAAGCAACCUGCCCGUGACAGGGGGAUAACCGAUGGAAACGUCGCCUAAUACCCCAUAACAACCGGAGAGGCAUCUUUUUGGUUUGAAAAUUCCGAUGGUCACGGAUGGGCUCGCGGGACAUUAGCCAGUUGGCGGGGUAACGGCCCACCAAAGCGACGAUGUCUAGGGGUUCUGAGAGGAAGGUCCCCCACACUGGAACUGAGACACGGUCCAGACUCCUACGGGAGGCAGCAGUGAGGAAUAUUGGACAAUGGAGGCAACUCUGAUCCAGCCAUGCCGCGUGAAGGACGAAGGCCCUACGGGUCGUAAACUUCUUUUGUCGUGGAGCAAUAAGGUGUACGCGUACACCGAUGAGAGUACACGACGAAUAAGCAUCGGCUAACUCCGUGCCAGCAGCCGCGGUAAUACGGAGGAUGCGAGCGUUAUCCGGAUUUAUUGGGUUUAAAGGGUGCGUAGGCGGACGCGUAAGUCAGCGGUGAAAGGUACCGGCUCAACCGGUGAGCUGCCGUUGAUACUGCGCGACUGGAAUGCGGAUGCCGUGGGAGGAAUGUGUGGUGUAGCGGUGAAAUGCAUAGAUAUCACACAGAACACCGAUUGCGAAGGCAUCUCACGAAUCCGUUAUUGACGCUGAGGCACGAAGGCGUGGGGAUCAAACAGGAUUAGAUACCCUGGUAGUCCACGCAGUAAACGAUGAUGGCUAACUGCCGGCGAUACAAUGUCGGUGGCCAAGCGAAAGCGAUAAGCCAUCCACCUGGGGAGUACGACCGCAAGGUUGAAACUCAAAGGAAUUGACGGGGGCCCGCACAAGCGGAGGAACAUGUGGUUUAAUUCGAUGAUACGCGAGGAACCUUACCCGGGCUCGAACGGCUGAGGAAUGAUUGGAGACAGGUCAUCCGCAAAGUGCAC